RNAcentral lists this ribosomal RNA (497 nucleotides) under uncultured bacterium. RNAcentral describes it as "partial 16S ribosomal RNA". It matches the Rfam family "Bacterial small subunit ribosomal RNA", at positions 28 to 507 of the family's 1533-position model. The record is from RNAcentral.
GAUGAACGCUGGCGGCGUGCCUAAUACAUGCAAGUCGAGCGAACAGACGAGGAGCUUGCUCCUCUGACGUUAGCGGCGGACGGGUGAGUAACACGUGGAUAACCUACCUAUAAGACUGGGAUAACUUCGGGAAACCGGAGCUAAUACUGGAUAAUAUAUUGAACCGCAUGGUUCAAUAGUGAAAGACGGUUUUGCUGUCACUUAUAGAUGGAUCCGCGCCGCAUUAGCUAGUUGGUAAGGUAACGGCUUACCAAGGCAACGAUGCGUAGCCGACCUGAGAGGGUGAUCGGCCACACUGGAACUGAGACACGGUCCAGACUCCUACGGGAGGCAGCAGUAGGGAAUCUUCCGCAAAGGGCGAAAGCCUGACGGAGCAACGCCGCGUGAGUGAUGAAGGUCUUCGGAUCGUAAAACUCUGUUAUUAGGGAAGAACAAAUGUGUAAGUAACUAUGCACGUCUUGACGGUACCUAAUCAGAAAGCCACGGCUAACUACGUG